Molecule: ribosomal RNA, 253 nt
Filed under: uncultured bacterium
Lineage: Bacteria
Description: partial 16S ribosomal RNA
Rfam family: Bacterial small subunit ribosomal RNA
Source: RNAcentral
UACGAAGGGGGCAAGCGUUGUUCGGAAUUACUGGGCGUAAAGGGCGCGCAGGCGGCUGAUCAAGUCAGAUGUGAAAUUCCCGGGCUCAACCUGGGGGCUGCAUUUGAUACGUGCGGACUUGAGUGGGGAAGAGGGUCGUGGAAUUCCCAGUGUAGAGGUGAAAUUCGUAGAUAUCAGGAGGAACACCGGUGGCGAAGGCGGGUCUCUGGGCAGUAACUGACGCUGAGGAGCGAAAGCGUGGGGAGCGAACAGG